This 1363-nucleotide long non-coding RNA is filed under the name Homo sapiens (human). RNAcentral describes it as "PREDICTED lncRNA (TCONS_00163805)". Lineage: Eukaryota; Metazoa; Chordata; Mammalia; Primates; Hominidae. The record is from RNAcentral.
GGCACUUGCAACUUUAUUGCGCCAGCAAGAACAUGCAUACAGCCCAGUCUAACGUACAGGAUCAAAAAGAGACCUUAUUUCGGCUGGCAAUUACCUUACCCGCUUGUUCAUUAUCUGACUCCUGCACUCCUCCCAAGUGUUCAAUGUUAACCAGAUGGCAAAGUUAACCAGACAGAGGAAAUCCACAUAAUUACUCUAGAUGAAGCCCCCUAACUGCGGAUUAGAAGGAAAAGAGAUGAAGGGUGCUGCACUAAUAAUAACAACCAUUUUCAACCAAGGCAGGAUUCUGGGCCUAGAAUCUUCAGUGACAAAUUACCAGGAGAGGAGGAGGGAAAUGAAGAGCUGGAGGCCUAGGGAGAUGGUGUGAGGAGAGGAGACUGUGCCUUUCCACUUCUUAAUAAUUAAUGUUCUCCUGCUGCUCUGAGUCUGCAUCACCAGUGAUUCAGUUUGAGUCAGACAUCCAACAACAACUGAGCAAAAGAAUCAUCUCAGAUCCAAGCAAUGGUGACGCGCAGAUAGAAGAGACUGAGGCCAACGACCAAAGCAAAGGACAGCAGAACUGACUGACACAGCUCAGAAAAUAUCCAAAGCUCUGUAUGCUCUGGAAAGGAAGACAAGAAAUGCUAAAGACUCUGGAUAUUGCUCUGUUUCUAUAAGGUCCCACCCAUAUACCAUCUCUUCUUUUGGAUUUCCUUUGGCAGGGUUCCCUUGUAUGGAAGUUCUCAGGAGAACAACACUCUCAGAGUCCCACUGUCUCAAAGAAUUCUUAAUGGACAGCUAUACUUGGCCCCAAGGUUUCAACCUCACACUGAAGAAAGUGACAUAAGAAAACACAAGUCCCAGUGCUAUCAGGGGCUAUCUGGAAAAGCUGCUUAAACAGCAAGUGAAAGAAGGCUCUCCCCUACCCCGUUCUAGGACAGAUUCCAAGCCUCUUGGAUAAGACUGAAGCCCUCCAUCACAGCCCAUCAAUCCGUUUCCUGGAGUUCGGAACCACAGCCAUGUGCCUCAUCAGUGUAAGACUGAGUCUCAGCUCUCACUUCAAGGAGGACUCAAGACAAGCAAAAGAAGUAAACUUUUGCUGGGUGCAGUGGCUCACGCCUGUAAUCCCGGCACUUUGGGAGGCCAAGGUGGUGGAUUACUUGAGGUCAGCAGUUUGAGACCAGCCUGACCAACAUGAUGAAACGUUAUCUGUACUAAAAAUACAAAAAUUAGGCUGGGCGCCAUGGCUCAUCCCUGUAAUCCCAGCACUUUGGGAGACCGAGGUGGGUGGAUCACCUGAGGUCAGAAGUUUGAGACCAGCCUGGGCAACAGAAUGAAACCCCAUCUCUACUAAAAAUACAAAAAUAAACUGGGUGUGGUGGCA